Molecule: long non-coding RNA, 2082 nt
Organism: Chionomys nivalis (European snow vole)
Lineage: Eukaryota; Metazoa; Chordata; Mammalia; Rodentia; Cricetidae
Exons: 3
Source: RefSeq, a predicted model, not a curated record
CCUUUGAACUCUGAAGCCGCGCCAGGUCAGUUUCAGCCUCUUGGGGACCGGAUUUCGUGGUGACAGUCGCCCAAGGAGAUGAUGCCACGUGGUGAGCCGAAGUACACCGGCAGGAUUCCACGCCGAGACCGGACUCCGUCUGCGCUCUGGUUUUUCACCUUGCCCGCGUGGCUGAUGAGUAUGCGCGUUAAUGAAACUUGCGUUGACUGCUGGGGCUUUUCUUAUUCUUGGUUUCCGACUAGUAAACUGUCUUAAUGACUGUCUUGCUUUGAAGGACUAGGGGCUCGGGGAAGGCGGUUUUCAAAAAGAAACAUUAGCAACUGAGAAACAAAUUUCUGCCCAAGUAGGCAAAAUAAAUGAUAAGCAACAAAAUGCUGAGGGGGUGGUUAAGUAAUCUACAGAAAUGGAAACAAAAGAAGGAACAAAGCGAAGGAACACAGCAGCCAACCAAUUCGGCCUUCACACAGAAAGACAGGUCCCCACCAUUGACUCUCUCAGCUUAACCAACGAGUUCUUUAUACUUUGAAACCCCGCACAAUGUACCAGGGACACUAAACAGUGUCUGAACAGUAUCACUAGAAGACCAGGACUGAACUGUAUUUCUUCAUUUGUAGGUUUUUUUGUUUGUUUGUUGUUUGGUUUGGUUUGGUUUUUUGUUUUCUUUUAUUUUGGUUGCUUAUGGAUUAUUCCAAAGCACCAUGCUUACAAGGAAGAGACAAACUGGUCUUUGAACAGUGAGAUAGUCCUCCACCAUCUUCAAAUCAGUCGGGUCAACACACAGAAAGCCCCAAGUGAGCAGAAGGAAGCUCUCAACAGAGAGCUCAGCUUGGACCUCAGCAAAGAUGUUUUCCCUUGGUAAACUCAGGAGGGUUCAGGACAGACACCUUUCUCUGAACACCAGCAAGAGUCUCUUCGCUAUUUGGCAGACCCCUAGAAAAGGAGGUGAUUUGUUUUCAGCCUUCUGGCUGACACUACUAAGUACCUAAGUCAAGAUUUUAUACUAGGUGUCUCUAUCCCACCUUAAUCCCUGAGGCAGGAGGAUCGUCAGGAGUUUGAAGCCAACUAGACUAAAUAGUGAGACCCUGUCUCUGAACAAACAAGCAAAUGGGAAGAGGCUAUUGAAGACUGUUGCCGACCUGGUCUGAUAUGGGCUUGAGAGCUGAGACUUUGGCUGAAUGCAUCGAAAGACUUGAGAAUCACCGCUUCAGGAGAUGACAAACAUGUUUGUGUGCACAGCAUUUUGAUGGAUUCUACUACAUCCUGGUUCACAGUGGCAUCUGCAGGAACAGGGCUAUGCUUAGAGACCCCGGUGGAAGCUGGGAAAUGGUGGCUGAGCUGUGAACUUGUGCCACAAACUGGAAGAGCAGUCACUCAGUCUUUCCCUUGGUCCAGACUCAUCAAAAUCAUUCCAUUUAGGAGGGAGUCCAUUUGAGGACGUCUUUGUCACAGUUGCUUCCCAAGGAAAUGAGCUAUUUGUUGGACCUCAUUUGUUCCAGGAAAUUCUUUUGGACUGACUCUGAAACGCUUCCAUUUCUUAAGUGGAUUGACCUGCUUAUGUAACUAACUGGUGUAUCCUUUAGGAGACCGGACUAUUUCUCUCAAGAGCUCAUUCUUUAUAGCCGUGCCCUGCCCCACCCAGGUCUUCACUACACAGCGUACUGCCCAGUGCCUCAUUCCACAGCAUACUGCCCAGGGAGAACACGGGAUGGGCAGUGAGUAGAGUGGAAGCGAGGGAGCUGCAUGUCUGUGUCUGUCCUGGGCCCACGGCCCGGGAUCACAGCUAAAUAGCUCUCACUCUGAAUCCUGCAACCAGUUUGCUUUCCAACCCCUUGCCCGGAAGCCAAUGCGCAGGCAAGCACAAAUUAGCUAUAGCAUCUCUCUCCACUGCAGACGGCGGGGUUUCCGCAGAGGCAGUGUGAACACGUCUAAUGUUAGUGCUGGGCUUUGCUGGCAUUCACAGGACAGCAGUCCAGUCAGGGCCCUUGCUCCUGCUCCUUAUACAGCAGAGAGCCCAGGCAGUUUCCACUCAGAACACCAGCGGCUGUUGAAGGGCGAGAACUUAGUUUUGAAUGAAGGGUCAUU